GAUGAACGCUGGCGGCGUGCCUAAUACAUGCAAGUAGAACGCUGAAGCUUGGUGCUUGCACCGAGCGGAUGAGUUGCGAACGGGUGAGUAACGCGUAGGUAACCUGCCUCUUAGCGGGGGAUAACUAUUGGAAACGAUAGCUAAUACCGCAUAAAAGUCGAUAUCGCAUGAUAUUGAUUUGAAAGGUGCAAAUGCAUCACUAAGAGAUGGACCUGCGUUGUAUUAGCUAGUUGGUGAGGUAACGGCUCACCAAGGCGACGAUACAUAGCCGACCUGAGAGGGUGAUCGGCCACACUGGGACUGAGACACGGCCCAGACUCCUACGGGAGGCAGCAGUAGGGAAUCUUCGGCAAUGGGGGCAACCCUGACCGAGCAACGCCGCGUGAGUGAAGAAGGUUUUCGGAUCGUAAAGCUCUGUUGUAAGUGAAGAACGAGUGUGAGAGUGGAAAGUUCACACUGUGACGGUAACUUACCAGAAAGGGACGGCUAACUACGUG
RNAcentral lists this ribosomal RNA (497 nucleotides) under uncultured bacterium. Its description in RNAcentral is "partial 16S ribosomal RNA". It matches the Rfam family "Bacterial small subunit ribosomal RNA", at positions 28 to 507 of the family's 1533-position model. The record is from RNAcentral.